GUGCUAGGUGGGGAGCUAGCGGUGCCCUGUAUCUGCAAUCCGCUACAGCAGAGCUGAAGGCUAUCUUAGGUCUGAGCUAUGCAAGGUCCGCCUCGGAUAAGUGACGUUGAUAACAAGGUCUUGUGCAAUCGCGCCCUGUGAACCAUGUCAGGGCUUGACCGCAGCAGCAUUAAGCAGAUCGCGUGAUGUGCCACGAGGUAGCUUUGAGGGAGUCAACUGUCCGGGUCACGCUUGGGUAGUUCUUAUCGACGAUAGAUGCA
Molecule: signal recognition particle RNA, 260 nt
Filed under: pig gut metagenome
Description: Bacterial large signal recognition particle RNA
Rfam family: Bacterial large signal recognition particle RNA
About the family: The signal recognition particle (SRP) is a universally conserved ribonucleoprotein involved in the co-translational targeting of proteins to membranes. Archaeal SRP consists of a 7S RNA and homologues of the eukaryotic SRP19 and SRP54 proteins.
Source: RNAcentral